AUUGAACGCUGGCGGCAUGCUUUACACAUGCAAGUCGAACGGUAACAGGCCGCAAGGUGCUGACGAGUGGCGCACGGGUGAGUAAUGCAUCGGAACGUGCCCAGUCGUGGGGGAUAACUACUCGAAAGAGUAGCUAAUACCGCAUACGAUCUAUGGAUGAAAGCGGGGGACCGUAAGGCCUCGCGCGAUUGGAGCGGCCGAUGUCAGAUUAGGUAGUUGGUGGGGUAAAGGCUCACCAAGCCAACGAUCUGUAGCUGGUCUGAGAGGACGAGCAGCCACACUGGGACUGAGACACGGCCCAGACUCCUACGGGAGGCAGCAGUGGGGAAUUUUGGACAAUGGGCGCAAGCCUGAUCCAGCAAUGCCGCGUGCAGGAAGAAGGCCUUCGGGUUGUAAACUGCUUUUGUACGGAACGAAACGGCUCUGGUUAAUACCCGGGGCUAAUGACGGUACCGUAAGAAUAAGCACCGGCUAACUACGUG
This 482-nucleotide ribosomal RNA is filed under the name uncultured bacterium. RNAcentral describes it as "partial 16S ribosomal RNA". It matches the Rfam family "Bacterial small subunit ribosomal RNA", at positions 30 to 507 of the family's 1533-position model. The record is from RNAcentral.